Molecule: non-coding RNA, 246 nt
Organism: Pelobates cultripes (western spadefoot toad)
Lineage: Eukaryota; Metazoa; Chordata; Amphibia; Anura; Pelobatidae
Source: the annotation of a GenBank genome assembly
UUCCAGAAAAGGUACAUAUAAAAUGUUUAUUCCACAUGCCAUGAUAUGUAACAGUAUUGAGCUCAAAAGUACUUGUAAAACUUUUAUUUCGCAGGAAAAAUAUUUUAAACAGUACAGAUCUAGCUGAUUCCCACGAACUGGCUAAACGACAUGGCCGACGUGAAUCUCGCGAGUGCCGCGAGAUUCAAGAUGGCCGCCAUUCGCGCGCAAAAGCGCCGUGUGGCCCGCAAUCAAGUAUACGAUCGC